GAGUGUUAUAGCUCUUUUAGAAUUUGUCUAGUAGGCUUUCUGGUUUUUACGAGAAAGUCCUU
Small nuclear RNA from Colobus angolensis palliatus, 62 nucleotides. Its record names the gene U7. It matches the Rfam family "U7 small nuclear RNA". From Rfam's summary of the family: Animal histone pre-mRNAs are spliced by a different mechanism than nuclear pre-mRNAs and self-splicing introns. This processing involves the U7 snRNP, which contains only one RNA species: U7. The record is from Ensembl. Lineage: Eukaryota; Metazoa; Chordata; Mammalia; Primates; Cercopithecidae.